Papaver somniferum (opium poppy) is the source of this 928-nucleotide RNA transcript. RefSeq lists it as uncharacterized. The transcript is spliced from 4 exons. Lineage: Eukaryota; Viridiplantae; Streptophyta; Magnoliopsida; Ranunculales; Papaveraceae. The record is from RefSeq and is a predicted model, not a curated record.
UGAAACUAGGAAGAAAGAUGACAUCGGCUUCUUCUCCUAGUCGAUCUCCCACUAAAAAUAACAACAAAGAGGAAAGACCAAGGUUUUUUGAUGCUAACACAAAGAGUUUAUGUUGGGCAAAAGCUGAUAUAUUAAUUGGACGUCAUCCAGAAAGAUGGAGAAAAGAUGCUGCUGGCAAUAUUGUUUGUAAACGUUUUUGCAAUUGUCAAGGUUGUUUAUGCUUUGAAUACGAUCAUAUUAUCCCUUUCUCCAAAGGUGGAGAAUCUACCGUAGAGAACUGUCAAAUUCUUCAGACUAGGGUGAAUAGGUAUAAAUCAGAUAAUGACAAGUUGGACAAAUCUGAGUUGGAGGGAUUCUCUUGUGAUAUCAAGUUUACUGACAAGGAGCUUGAUGUAGUCGAGAUGGCUGUUUACGGGGAUGUAAUCCGUCCUGGUAAUGAAUGUCGUUGCAGGACUGUCGCUGAAAUGCUUGGUCAGUACAAAUCAAAAAAUCGAAUGGCUCCUUGUCAACUUCCAUAUAAGCAGGAGACUACUAAGUAGCCAGGCAAGCACCAAAGAAAGGGGGGAUAUUUUUUGCAGAAGUAGAUCUAGAAGAACCAAACGCCAGGGGCAUGUUACUUUUCUGAAGAAUCUAAUAAACAUUACUUUAACGCGGUAGCUGACCUCCAAGACGGACGGUGAUAUCACUUUCGGGGUGAACUAGACAUACAUGAUUAUAAAAAACGAUGAUGACGAGGUAAAGUUUAGUGUUGGCUAUUGAAACUACAAGAGUUGCUUCCUAAAAUAUUAAUUUGACAUUUUCCUUUCCAAGAGUUGAUAAACAAAAGAGCCAACAUUAAAAGUUAAAACUCUUCAAAUUGGAAUAUUUAUUCAAUCAAUGUAUAUUUAUUUUUAAUCGUCAGCUGAAUUCAGAAUAUUCCUCGUGAGCA